RNAcentral lists this long non-coding RNA (301 nucleotides) under Cricetulus griseus (Chinese hamster). Its description in RNAcentral is "lncRNA (ENSCGRG00015029884.1)". The record is from RNAcentral. Lineage: Eukaryota; Metazoa; Chordata; Mammalia; Rodentia; Cricetidae.
GGGCCUGCGCGCUCGCCCCGCGCCCUCCGUCCCCACGCCGGCCUCCGCGCCCUCGCGUGCUGCAGCAUCUCCGCGCUGCCCGGCCUCCCAGCCGCAGCCUCCCCUCGCCGUCGCCUGUCCUUGCUGCCACCAUCGCUGCCGCCAUUCUUGGCACGGAGCUGGCCCGACCGGGCCCCGCCGAGAGCCGCCGCGGGUCGGACGCGCGCUUCAGGUUGAAAACACACAGUAUUUCCCUUCAAAGAAACACUUAAGAGGGUCUUAAGAGAAGUACUUCCGCCGGGCGUUGGUGGCGCACGUCUUU